Long non-coding RNA from Cyprinus carpio carpio, 1571 nucleotides. The record is from Ensembl. NCBI's taxonomy places the organism in Eukaryota, Metazoa, Chordata, Actinopteri, Cypriniformes, Cyprinidae.
UUUCCAGUUAUAUACACUCUAAAAAACGCUGGGUUGUUUUUUCAACCCAAAUGCUGGGUUGAGACCGCUAGGUAGGACAUUUGGUUGUUUUAACCCAAGUUUGGGUUGAAAAUUGGUCUUGAUCAUAACCCAGCGGCGCUGGGUUGUGAACGCGGACGUGAAGGAGAGCACGCACGUCACGUUAAAAUCGUACGUCUCCAGUGCGAGAAGCCGCCAUUUUCUCAGCGUGAAAGAAGCGAGAAGCGAGUGAAAGACAUUACGACUUGUCGAGCUCGUCAUUGUCAAGACACCUGCUUGUGUGAGGAGGAGGCGGUGUUCUCAGCUUCUUCUGAAGAGAGGGACAGACGGGUUUAAGAUGUUGAAAGCCAGAGACAUAGGAGAGCAUCAUUCUUUUGAGAUUUAUAACUCAAGCUAACUUUGGAGUUAAGGACACAGAAGUCUGCUUGUGUGAGGAAGAGGCGGUGUUCUCAGCUUCUUCUGAAGAGAGGGAAAGAUAAUUUAAGAUGUUGAAAGCCAGAGACAUAGAACUCAAACCAACUUUGGAGUUGUCUGAUUUGGAGACUCAUCAUUCUUGGUCUUCCCUCUUAAGGGAAUAGUUCACACAAAAAAUCAUUUAGUUGCCCUCAUGUCAUUCCAAACCUAUACGACUUUUGUCUGUCUUUAGAAUACAAAUGAAUAUAUUUUGAAUUUUCAGAGUUAUUGUAGAAGUAAUCCAUUCCGAUAUUUAUAUAUGAUUAAAUCUUAAAUUAUAUGAUAGCGAACAUGUCUGUUCAGAAGAAAAUAUUGGUCUCCCAGACUAGCAAUGGAGGACAAAAAUUAAUAGAAUAUUAAAUAUAUUUAUUUGUGUUCCAAAACUUAGCAGAGUUUGUAUGGGUCUGGAACAACAUGGGGGAGUAAAUUAUGACCAUUUUCAUUUUUUGGUGGACUAACCCUUUGAAGAGCAGCCCUCAACGUACAUGAACAUUUGUGAGGCCACUGAUGAAGAACAGGCGGUGACUGGGAUGAAUGCUGGUCAAAGAAGAGAAUGUCCUUUCCCCUAAACUGAUGCAGCAGUGGUUUUAAAGGAGGAUGCUGCCCUGGGUGAUUGUAGAUGUCACAUGUGCUGAUGGGGCUUCUUCAUGACUACAUCAAUUAUGCUGAAGAGAUCAUGAAAGUUGACAGUGAUGCAUGAUCUGUAUUCAUGGACUGUGAAACAAACUGUAAGUGUAUAAUUUGUAAAAACAAAAUGUUAAAUGCUUGUUCUGUGUUGUUUAGUAAAAGAGUUUACACUCUGUCAUUCACACACAUGCUCACAUUCUUUCACACACACACACUCGCGCAUCUGUUAAAUGUUAUAAUAUCAGUGUUAAUGUUGUGGUUUAUUUGUGUACUGUAAUGCUAGAAUAGUUGGUAAAGAACUUAACUAAUUGUACAUUUAUUGUAUAAUAGUGUGUUCGUAUAUUUUUAUACAAUAUAUAAAAUUUACCAAAGUCCAAUUUGAUCUUAAAAGUUAUAUUCAACAAAUGUUCAAUGCUUUAUUUAUGAACUCUGUAGCUGUUAAUGCCAUACUUUUCUGCAUUUCUUCUUACAUG